Oryza nivara is the source of this 190-nucleotide non-coding RNA. NCBI's taxonomy places the organism in Eukaryota, Viridiplantae, Streptophyta, Magnoliopsida, Poales, Poaceae. The record is from Rfam.
UACACGUGCAACCAUAAGUUUUCGCGUCCAACUUUGAUCGUUCAUCUUAUUUGAAAUUUUUUAUAAUUAGUAUUUUUUUUAUAAGAUGAUAAAAUAUGAAUAGUAAUUUACUCGUGGCUUAUGUUAUUAAAUUUUUUUAAAUAAGAUGGACGGACAAAGUUGGGCGUAGAAAACCAUGGCUGCACUUAUA